RNA transcript from Cucurbita moschata (crookneck pumpkin), 4127 nucleotides. RefSeq lists it as uncharacterized. The record is from RefSeq and is a predicted model, not a curated record. NCBI's taxonomy places the organism in Eukaryota, Viridiplantae, Streptophyta, Magnoliopsida, Cucurbitales, Cucurbitaceae. The transcript has 5 exons.
AGUACAAGAAUUACACUAUCUACCAUGAUUAAUUUUUAAUGAAGUUUAAUAAGCCAUAGUAUACAUGUCAUGUUUGGAAGGAUAUAUUAGAUAUACAAUCUUAUUCAAAGUUUAAAACUCCCAUAUGAAAACAGAGGAGAGGCAAAUGGGAAAAUGGUCAAAAUUGUAAAUUGGAGCAAAUUGAGAUGCUAUGAUGUUCCCCCUUGGUUGGGAAGGGGAGGAAUGACCGUUGUUAUUUCAGGUAAUUGGUCAUCAAAGACAACCUGAAUUGCCUCCUAAAAUGUCGCAAAUAUAAAUCCUAAGAAGGCUCAACCCCCUAACUUAGCUCAUAACCUCUUGGUUUGUCGCCUCUCUCUGGGAACACAGACACUCCCCCAAAAGAAAAACAGAGAGAGAAAUAGAGAGAGAGUAGAAAGAGGAGAGGGGAAGGAAAAAAAAAGAAGAAAGAAAACAAGGAAAAAAAAGGUCAUGAUCUAGGUCUGGUCCAUCCCACCAAGGUCAUGAUCUUUUCAUCUUCAUAGAACAAUUACAGACAGGAUUUUGAAAUCCAAAACAGGGGGUUGGGUUAGAUUUUUUAAUUUUUUAUUCUUUUGCAAGAGAAAGUUAGGGAAAAAAGAAAUAAAGGAACAAUGGCGACGAAACGUUCUUUCACCCGUUUUGUAGAACAGGAGAUGGGAAAGUUCCCACAUUUCGUAGUUUGUGCAGUCCUUGAAUGGGUUCUCAUAAUUUUGCUUUUCAUUGAUGGGUUUGUUGCAUUUUUGGCAAGCGAAUUCGCCAAGUUCUUUGAAUUGCGAGUUCCUUGUUUGUUCUGCACCAGAAUCGACCAUGUUUUUGUUAACAAAAAUGCAGAUUUCUACUACAACAAUGCCAUUUGUGAAAGCCACAAGAAGGAUGUUUCAUCUCUUGCAUAUUGCCACAACCACAAGAAACUCUCUGACAUUCGGAAGAUGUGUGAGGUCUGUCUUCUCUCAUUCGCAACCGAGAAGGAAUCCGAUUGCAAUACCUACAAGUCGCUCGUUGGAAUAUUGCACAAGGAUCUUGAAUGUUUUGUGGAGGACGAUAAUUGUCAAGUUGUGAGCUUGCCGCCCGUGGGGAAGAAAGAUGAAGGCCUGCAAAUGGAGAAAGUGGGUGGUGGUGGUGAUGAUUGUUGUUGUUCAUGUUGUGGGGAAUCAUUGAAGGUUAAAUCCUCCAAUUCAAAAGGGAAAAAUGGGAGUACCUUUUCACAAGCUCCUGCUCCUUCGCCACGAGCUGGGUUUGUGCCUGCUUUCAGAAACGAGGACAAAACUAGCUUGGAAUUACCGCACGUUAAUUAUACCGAACUCAAAUUGUUGUCAGAUAGUGAGUCGGAGUUCGUCGAAGACGAUGAAGGUUUACAUGGAAGAAAUCUUGACGCUCAUCAAUUUAAGGAGGAUGUGAAACCUGUUAAAGUGCCAUUGUUACCUGAACCUGAGGAUGUGCAUGAAAGUUCGAGGACCCCCAUCUUUGGUAGAGGAAACAAAUUUUUUGGUAUCCCACUUACGGAUUCUGAUAAUACCAGUCCCAGAUGGGCUAUUAGGAUCUCUAGAAAAUCACCACUUGAAAGACCAGAGCUCCCAGCUGAGAAUUAUGAAGCAGAUAUGUUGGGGCCAGGAGACAAUGAUUCCAUUUUGAAUUGCUUGAAAAGACAAGUUCGGAUAGAUCGAAAAUCGCUCAUGGAGUUAUACAUGGAACUGGACGAAGAAAGAAGCGCUUCAGCCGUGGCAGCAAACAAUGCAAUGGCCAUGAUUACUCGCUUACAAGCCGAAAAGGCGGCCGUUCAGAUGGAAGCUUUGCAGUACCAAAGAAUGAUGGAAGAACAGGAAGAGUAUGACCAGGAAGCCUUACAAGCUACAAACGAUUUGCUUGCUAAGAGAGAGGAAGAAAUCAGGGACUUGGAGGUUGAACUUGAAGCUUACAGAGAAAAAUAUGGAUACCUUGAGGAAGGUUGUCUUCAGAUGUCUGAAGGAGAGAUGUCUGAUGAAGAUUACCAAGAAUUCAAGUCACAAGUCUAUUUAUCUUCUGAUGAGAAAUCUGAAUGUAAUACACCUUUUAGUCUCAAUGGAAGAGAGAAGGAAAAUUUUAAGAAUUUUGACAGGACGAUUAUACCCUCCGGGUUGAAAAUUGAAAGAGAAAAUAGCAAAGAAGAAAGUACAAACAAUCAUGGGGUAGCCUUGCCAUUCUCCCAAGGGAAGGCUGAAGGAGAAGAUAGCAAAGAAGACAGUACAAACAAUCAUGGGGUAGCCUUGCCAUUCUCCCAAGGGAAGGCUGAAGGAGAAGAUAGCAAAGAAGACAGUACAAACAAUCAUGGGGUAGCCUUGCCAUUCUCCCAAGGGGAGGCUGAAGGAGAAGAUAGCAAAGAAGAAAGUACAAACAAUCAUGAGGUAGCCCUGCCAUUCUCCCAAGGGAAGUCUGAAGGAGAAGAUAGCAAAGAAAAAAGUAUAAACAAUCAUGGCGUAACCCUGCCAUUCUCCCAAGGGAAGGCUGAAGGAGAAGAUAGCAAAGAAGAAAGUACAAACAAUCAUGCGGUCCAAGGAGAAGAUAGCAAAGAAGAAGGUACAAACAAUCAUGGGGUAGCCCUGACAUUCUCCCAAGGGGAGGCUGAAGGAGAAGAUAGCAAAGAAGAAAGUACAAUCAAUCAUGGGGUGGCCCUGCCAUUCUCCCAAGGGAAGGCUGAAGGAGAAGAUAGCAAAGAAGAAAGUACAGACAAUCAUGGGGUAGCCUUGCCAUCCCAAGGGAAGGCUGAAGGAGAAGAUAGCAAAGAAGAAAGUACAAACAAUCAUGGGGUAGCCUUGCCAUCCAAAGGGAAGGCUGAAGGAGAAGAUAGCAAAGAAGAAAGUACAAACAAGCAUGGGGUAGCCCUGCCAUUCUCCCAAGGGAAGGCUGAAGGAGAAGAUAGCAAAGAAGUAAGUACAAACAAUCAUGGGGUAGCCCUGCCAUUCUCCCAAGGGAAGGCUGAAGGAGAAGAUAGCAAAGAAGUACGUACAAACAAUCAUGGGGUAGCUCUGCCAUUCUCCCAGGGGAAGGCUGAAGGAGAAGAUAGCAAAGAAGUACGUACAAACAAUCAUGGGGUAGCUCUGCCAUUCUCCCAGGGGAAGGCUGAAGGAGAAGAUAGCAAAGAAGUAAGUACAAACAAUCAUGGGGUAGCCUUGGCAUUCUCCCGAGGGAAGGCUGAAGGAGAAGACCAAAAUGAACCACUGACAAACUUUAAAGGAGAAAAAACAUAUCUUUUAGGCCGCUUGAAAAGGUCAAAGAAGAACAUUAACUCCUUAUCCUCAGAGGAUCUAGCUUCGUCCCUGCAACCAAGAUCUGCCAGUGUCAACCGAGUAGAUGAAGUUACAGGAAAAGGAAGAGCUCUGACCCGAAAGCUCUCUCAUCUUAACGAGUUCAAGAUCAUGAGAGUACUCAAAGCAGACAACGAAAUCUCCAAGCAUGAAGGAAAAGUAUCUUUAGCUGAGACUUCUCACAAUUUAGGGAAACCUCAAAACCUUGUCGACCAGAAUAACAGUGAUUCUUAACUUCCCAUAUUGUUUGUUUUAUUUCUAGGAUGUACAUAGUGUUGUAUGACGCGCUGAAUAUAGAUAUAAAGCUCCUUGAAGCUCAGCAGCUGCUAACUUCUUCCAUAGCAAUGCAGAGCUAAAAACCAUAUUCGGCUGCCAGCGAUGGGUGUAGAAGGCUUUCCUUUUUCUUUUCUAUUACUUUACUAUUCAUCAGCAGAGUGGAAAUGGUGUUCAAGAAAGUGCUUUUGGAUUUACACAUCAAAAGCCACAGAACAAGGGAAAGAAAAAAGGCCAAUAUUCCUUCUUUUUGAGGGCAUAGUUGGACUAAUGAUAGAACCUCAAGGGAAAAUCACUCAAGGGAAAAUCAGAAAAGGCAAGGCGUUCGGGCUUCCAUCCCAUUUACAACGAGACAAACGUUAGCGUUGUAUGAUGCAAGAAGAGUUCUUUAAAGUCAUAAUCAUCCCCUCCCCCUUAAAUGUCUUUUCGAGUUUACUAAAAUGACAGCAAUAUGCAAGGAAUUUUGAUUGGUUUCAUCCCAUAUACUACUUCAAAACUUGGAGAGGGAAGACGCCAGUCCUUUUUAAACGCAAAGAGAUAUCUUUUUCUUUGUCA